Molecule: long non-coding RNA, 408 nt
Organism: Dicentrarchus labrax (European seabass)
Lineage: Eukaryota; Metazoa; Chordata; Actinopteri; Moronidae
Exons: 2
Source: RefSeq, a predicted model, not a curated record
GUAGCCGGCGCUGGGUUGCAGCUUAACUUGUAAUUUAACAAUUACAAGUUAAGCUGCAACAAAAUACUAUAUGAGUGGAUGUUAUUUUCUAUUAAUUUGGUAUUUCAUUCAAUUUUCAAUUCAAUUCAAUUCAGUUUUAUUUGUAUAGCGCCAAUUCAUAACAGAAGUUAUCUCAGGACACUUUUCAAAUAGAGCAGGUCUAGACCGAACUCUUUAACAUUAAUUACAGAGACCCAACAGUACCACCAUGAGCAAGCACUUGGCGACAAGGGCAAGGAAAAACUGCCUGUUAAAAGGCAGAAACCUAGGACAGAUCCUCCGGCUCUAGGUGGGUGGUCGUCUGUCUCGACCAGUUGGGGUGAGAGAGAGAGAGAGAGAGAGAGAGAGAGAGAGAGAGAGAGAGAGAGA